GGAAAAAAAAAGGGGGAAAAAAAAGCUAAUUCUAAUGUAAUCCACAAUAGCAUUGUUUUGCAGUAAAUUUCCUUUCAAACGAUUGUCCGUCGCAAUUUCCAAGAACAAACACAAAAUCAUCAAAAGCCUACUCGUUUCUUAUCAAAAUUAUUUGCAUUCCAACUAAAUAUUAGAAGACAAAAGUAAAGUUACUUUUUGAGAAAGUAAUAAUUUUGAAGAUGAAAGAUUAUACUUACCUG
RNAcentral lists this unclassified non-coding RNA (239 nucleotides) under Hevea brasiliensis (rubber tree). The record is from RNAcentral. Lineage: Eukaryota; Viridiplantae; Streptophyta; Magnoliopsida; Malpighiales; Euphorbiaceae.